Molecule: ribosomal RNA, 294 nt
Filed under: Hyalomma dromedarii
Lineage: Eukaryota; Metazoa; Arthropoda; Arachnida; Ixodida; Ixodidae
Description: partial large subunit ribosomal RNA
Source: RNAcentral
UGGUAUUUUGACUAUACAAAGGUAUUGUAAUAAGAUUUUAAUUGAAUGCUAAAAGAAUGGAAGUUUAAGAAAAAACUUUUUUAAAAAUAAAAAUUAAAUUUUUUUUAAUUUGUGCAAAACCAAUUAUUUAUAUUAAAGACAAGAAGACCCUAUGAAUUUAUGAUUAAAUAAACUAAAAAUUUUUAGUUUAUUUAAUCUUGAUUGGGGCAAUCAAAAAAUAUUAAUAACUUUUUUAAAUUUAAAUCAUCUCUUAUUAAUAAUCUAAUGGAAUAAAUACUCUAGGGAUAACAGCGU